RNAcentral lists this ribosomal RNA (446 nucleotides) under uncultured bacterium. Its description in RNAcentral is "bacterial SSU rRNA". It matches the Rfam family "Bacterial small subunit ribosomal RNA", at positions 330 to 792 of the family's 1533-position model. The record is from RNAcentral.
ACCAGACUCCUACGGGAGGCAGCAGUGGGGGAUAUUGCACAAUGGGGGGAACCCUGAUGCAGCGACGCCGCGUGGGUGAAGAAGUAUUUCGGUAUGUAAAGCCCUAUCGGCAGGGAAGAAAUUGGACGGUACCUGACUAAGAAGCCCUGGCUAACUACGUGCCAGCAGCCGCGGUAAUACGUAGGGGGCAAGCGUUAUCCGGAUUCACUGGGUGUAAAGGGAGCGUAGACGGCCAUGCAAGCCUGGAGUGAAAGCCCGGGGCCCAACCCCGGGACUGCUCUGGGAACUGUGCGGCUGGAGUGCGGGAGGGGCAGGCGGAAUUCCUGGUGUAGCGGUGAAAUGCGUAGAUAUACGGAGGAACACCAGUGGCGAAGGCGGAUUGCUGGACAGUAACUGACGCUGAGGCGCGAAAGCGUGGGGAGCAAACAGGAUUAGAUACCCUGGUA